Molecule: ribosomal RNA, 301 nt
Filed under: uncultured bacterium
Lineage: Bacteria
Description: partial 16S ribosomal RNA
Rfam family: Bacterial small subunit ribosomal RNA
Source: RNAcentral
CAGCAGCCGCGGUAAUACAGAGGGUGCGAGCGUUAAUCGGAUUUACUGGGCGUAAAGCGUGCGUAGGCGGCUAAUUGAGUCGGAUGUGAAAUCCCCGAGCUUAACUUGGGAAUUGCAUUCGAUACUGGUUAGCUAGAGUGUGGGAGAGGAUGGUAGAAUUCCAGGUGUAGCGGUAAAAUGCGUAGAGAUCUGGAGUAAUACCGAUGGCGAAGGCAGCCAUCUGGCCUAACACUGACGCUGAGGUACGAAAGCAUGGGGAGCAAACAGGAUUAGAUACCCGCGUAGUCCCUGUCUCUUAUAC